AGUGAACGCUGGCGGUAGGCCUAACACAUGCAAGUCGAACGGCAGCACAGUAAGAGCUUGCUCUUACGGGUGGCGAGUGGCGGACGGGUGAGGAAUACAUCGGAAUCUACUUUUUCGUGGGGGAUAACGUAGGGAAACUUACGCUAAUACCGCAUACGACCUACGGGUGAAAGCAGGGGAUCUUCGGACCUUGCGCGAUUGAAUGAGCCGAUGUCGGAUUAGCUAGUUGGCGGGGUAAAGGCCCACCAAGGCGACGAUCCGUAGCUGGUCUGAGAGGAUGAUCAGCCACACUGGAACUGAGACACGGUCCAGACUCCUACGGGAGGCAGCAGUGGGGAAUAUUGGACAAUGGGCGGAAGCCUGAUCCAGCCAUACCGCGUGGGUGAAGAAGGCCUUCGGGUUGUAAAGCCCUUUUGUUGGGAAGGAAAAGCAGCAGGUUAAUACCCCGCUGUUCUGACGGUACCCAAAGAAUAAGCACCGGCUAACUUCGUG
This 492-nucleotide ribosomal RNA is filed under the name uncultured bacterium. RNAcentral's name for it is "partial 16S ribosomal RNA". It matches the Rfam family "Bacterial small subunit ribosomal RNA", at positions 29 to 507 of the family's 1533-position model. The record is from RNAcentral.